This is a long non-coding RNA of Manis pentadactyla (Chinese pangolin), 1638 nucleotides long. RefSeq lists it as uncharacterized. NCBI's taxonomy places the organism in Eukaryota, Metazoa, Chordata, Mammalia, Pholidota, Manidae. The record is from RefSeq and is a predicted model, not a curated record. The transcript has 2 exons.
GCGCAGCCGGGGAGGUGUGCGCGCCUUGAGGAGUGUGUUGUUUCGACGAGCGUUUCGUUUCAUUAGUUUUGCAGUCUCUACAGUAAGGGACAAUUUAGUCAAGUGUUUUUAUUAAGUACACAAUUACAAAGUCAACCGUGCUACAGGAUCGUGAGCCAGAGAUCAGCAUCCCAACCUUUGUCGUAAACCUUUUGACCUUCAGACCCCAGGCCUGAGGUUCACUUUCUUGCCUGUUCAGUGGGACAACCGGAGCCACUUCUGAGGGCUUGUGAUGAUCCAUUACUCCUUCAGCAAAUAUUUAUAAAGUGCCUGUUGUGUACUGGGCAUUGUUCUAGACAUGGAAUAUAAAGCGGUGAACAAAGACCUUGUUCUCAGCGUCUUUGUUCCAGGGUGGGAAAACAGCACACAGAUACAGAUACACUGAUGGACAAAUAUAUCGGGGGAAAGGUCUAAGGAGAAUAAGCCAGGGAAGGUGAACAGUGGUGGGGAGAGGGCUCAGGUCAGUGCUCAGAGCAGGUACAGACUUGCAGUGGGGAGGGAGUCAGCUAGUGGAUAUGGAGCCAUAGGGGGUGCAGAGCAUCCCAGGCAGCAGGAAUGCAAGUGCCAAGGUGCUGGAGGGCGAGUUAUGUUCGCACAGGCAACACGCACGCCUGUCCUGGGGGCCUCUGCAUCAGCACGGAGGCAGUGACUCAGGAGCAGGCAACCCAGACAAACCGGACCUAAGUUUUAAAAAAGACCUUCGUGGUAGCUGAGUUAGAUAGACAGAAUUGGGGCAAGGGUGGAGGCAGGAAACUGCUUAUAUAUUAAAAUACGUAAGAGAUGAGGGCAGCCUGGGCCACUGUGUGUGGAUGGUGGAGAAGGUGAGCAGUGGUUGGAGCCUGAAUAGAUUUGAAAGGCGAGAUUACAAGGCUUGGUGGCUUCAAGGAGGAAUCAAGGAUGGCCGAUGGUUCUAGCCCGAGGAAUUGCAAGGACCAUUUGCCAUUCCUGAGUUGGGGAAGGUUGUGGACGGAGUUGGGGGUGGGAGAAAAGCUGGGAGCUCAGCUCUGAACGCAGUAGGUUUAGGUACCUUCAGGAUACAAGUGGAUGAGUAGACCAUCAGGGUGAGCCUGGGUUCAAAGAGGUGUGGACAAGAUGCAAGUGUGGGUGUCACCAGUGUGGGGUCAGUCCCUCAGACUGGAUCAGACAACUAAGAAAGGGGCUGUGAACCAGGAAGGCUCCUGUGGCCAAGGCCUAGUGCCAGCAAGACUCAGAACCUCCCAUCUCUCCUCCAGCUCUCCCUCCUAGCUUUUCUCCUUUUCUGUUAAGGAGGAUUUUGUAAGAGACAGGGUCAAAAAAUUUUUGUUAGUUUCUCGAUUCCCAGUAUCCAGUAUGUGCUACCUUUUAAAUAAUUCAUUUAAAUUCCAGAAAUGUAUUUGGAAAUAUCCACAAACAUUCAAAUGCUGGUUGUGAUAUUUGGUAAUAUGGGCAAUUAAAUUCUUUCGCAAUUUCAAAGUAUCAUUACAAAGCUAAUAUAAGGAGCCAUUAGAUUUCUAAAGGUAUUUCUUCUUGAAAAUGACAAAAAUUACUUUGGAAUAAGCGAAUCUCUUGGUUGUAGGUCUUUUGUAAAAAAAAAUGCCAUAUUAAAAAAAGGUAUAUGAG